CUUCUUCUUCUUUUUUUUCUUCUUCUUCUUCUUCUUCUUUAUUUUAAGAAAUGAAGGUAUGGAAUCUUCAGUUACAUCUUUUGUUUUUUGCCGGGUAAAAGGAGCGCUAGAAGGGUCACAUAAGCCAAAGGAAGCAAAGCAAUGGCAACAGCUGCAGAUAGCGACGAUGGGGAUAAUAAAAGGUUGGCCCAUGUAGGUCAUCUUUGCUUUUUGGUGCGUUUUGGAUUUCAGUGGCCAUUGGCUACAGUUUGGUUUCUCUUUUUUUAUUUUUCUCAAUUACUAAAUUGCCCCUAUUUGUAUUCUCAUUAUCAAUUUCAAAAACCCCCCAAAUUCUUUUUUUAUUUUUUAUUUAUCACCAUCCUUCAAGCUAAUUAUUCUUUUUAUUUGUGUAUUUUACUAGAUCAUAUGAUUAGUAAUGCAAUAAUAUUAUCUCAAAUCAAGUGCUUUAUAUUA
Molecule: long non-coding RNA, 453 nt
Organism: Ricinus communis (castor bean)
Lineage: Eukaryota; Viridiplantae; Streptophyta; Magnoliopsida; Malpighiales; Euphorbiaceae
Exons: 2
Source: RefSeq, a predicted model, not a curated record